UCCAAAUUGGGAAUGGUUUAUGGAAUUGAAAACUAGAUUCAAAAUGCUAUAAAUCAUCAGAAGAAAUGGUGUUCAAAUUCUUUUCACAAGAGGGAUGAAAUUGAGCCACAAGAUGCAGCUGUAUAAUUUUCUCGAGUAAACAGGUGAAGCAAAUCAGUCCACUUUGCCGGUUCGCUACGGCUCACUCAAAAUGAAUUAUUAGGGGAAUUUUAUACCGUUGGAAAGCUCUUGGUGUCUAGUUUCAAAUGCAGCAAAUGACACUUGAUUUUAACUUUUGUACAAAGAUUUAUGUGCAGUCAAAGAGCCCCUGGUCGGCUGGCCUGGCAAC
Molecule: long non-coding RNA, 328 nt
Filed under: Coffea arabica (coffee)
Lineage: Eukaryota; Viridiplantae; Streptophyta; Magnoliopsida; Gentianales; Rubiaceae
Description: long non-coding RNA (CARA_LNC005986)
Source: RNAcentral